AAGUAAUAUGUAUUUACAUUUCCGUAUGUGAGUAUUUGGGCGUGACUUGAGUAACAAUAAAGCAAUAGGGGGUUACUUGUGCCGUGAACGCAAAUACUGCGGACACAGACUGAUCUAGGUGGGCUGUGUUGCCUCAGUGGUAGAGUUUCCGUGAUAGGGAACGGCACUUAGUAGGUUUCCAAAGAGAACAAAGUACAGGUUGGUCCAUGGGGUGAUUACUAUUCUGGAAAAUUCAGUAGACCUGAAAACUGCAAAAACUGCAUAAAUCAAUCAAUCCUUUGUGUUUGUUUGUGAAAUGGAGUUAGGUGCUAAGGCUUAUAUGACUGUGAACAGUUUUCUCGCCUAUAUCGACAGUCUGGUUAGGAGCCCCACGUGAAACAGACAGACACAGAAAUAAAUGUGUAGAAGGGAGCUUCUUUUCUUCCCUCUCAUCUCUGGAAGAAAGGAUUGUAAUACAGCUUGUGAUUUCCAGAAGAGUGGAAACUUCCUUUGAGUCUCAUUGUAUCUUAGCAUCACAGGGCUUGAAUCAAUGGGAAACGUGAGGAUGGGUUUCAAGCACACGUGUCUUCUUUCUUAUUUCCUUCUCUCUGACAGAGUUUGGAAGGCAGUCUUGCUCCGGGAGAACUUUCCUUCUCCCUUGAAUCUUUUUAGCAAAAUCCAAGAACGGAGUGAAGAACUUGGACUGACGAUUGUUUGAAGCUACACUCACCGCUGUUGUAAAGCAGAGCCUGUGAAUCUUGUUACCUCUGCGGUCUGCCUGCCUGAGUUGAAACCCCGGCUCUCGCACUAGCGAGCUCUUCGUCUUGGGCAAAUUCUUGACGCUCUCCAAGCCUGUCUCCUCAUCUGUGAAAUGGGCUGCCCCACAAGGCCUAGCACGGAGCGCCUGUGGACCCCUGGGCGCCUGCGUCCUGCGCCGUUGGAGUGGCGACUCGGUGCACGUGUGUGUCCCCCGCUGUCACCCCGUGGGAUGGACGCCUUCCAGCGGAUUUUUCUCCUGCGGUUUGGGUGAUGGCGAUGUUUGGAGAAGGCAGCAACUGGCCGAUUGGAUGGAGGAGGACCUGGCGGGCCCCUCAAGUCAUUAUUUAUGAAGAGACAUAUUUCUAACGAAGAUAUACAGGUGGGCGACAGGCACAGGAAAAGAUGCUCAACGUCACUACUUAUUAGGAAAAUACAAAUGAAAAGCACAAUGAGAUACCCACCUCAGGCCGGUCAGAAGGGCUAGUAGAAAAAGACAAGAAUUAACAGGUCUUGGAAGUACGUGGUGCAAAGGGAACCCUAGUACCCUGCUGGUGGGAGUGUAAAUUGGUACAGCCGCUGUGGAAAACCGUAUGAAGAUUUUUCAAAAAGUUAACAAUAGAACUACCCCGUAUGAUCCAGCUAUUCCACUUCUGGGUGUUCAUCCAAAGCACACAAAAGCGCUAAUUCAAAAAGAUAUAUGAACCCCUGUGUUCAUCGCAGCGUUAUUCAGAACAGCCAAGACUUGGAAACAACCUAAGUGCCCAUCGCCCGACAAAUAGAUAAAGAAGUUGUGGGAGAUAUACACAAGGGAAUAUAGUACUUAGCCGUAGAAAAGAGGAAAUCUUGCCAUUUGCGACAGCAGGGAUGGACCUCGGGCGUAUUACGCUAAGCGGGAUGAGUCAGGUGGAGAAAGACAGAUACCGUGUGACUUCACUCGUGUAUGUGGAAGGUAAACAAGCAAACACAUAGAGACAGAACAGACUGGUGGUUAGCAGAAGGAAAAGGGCGGGAGGAGGGGGAAGGGGGAUAAGGGGCAGCUGUGUACGAUGACGGAUGGCAGUUAGAGCUGUGGCGGGGAACACGACGUAGUCUGUGCAGAAGGCGAACUAUAAUGAUGCACAUCGAAGAAUAAAAUCUAGGCCCCUUCCAGAAGUUGGAUGCCGUCCACCAGUAAGCUCCGGAUGCUGUGCUCUGAAAGCCGGGUGGGUCCCCAACAGGCGCUAGCCAGUACUGAGGACUGCCCUGGCGUAGAGGCCCCUCGGCUUGAGGCCUUGCUCCUUCGCGUGCAGUGUGAGCUGAGCCCACUGCUGACCCUCAGUGGUGAAGUGGCUCAGUGACCCUGGCCUUGCAUGUGGUGGCAAAGGUUACGUGAGGUGGUGCGUUCGCGGGCCUGGUGCGCAGGUGUUGAGGAAAUGGUGAUUUCUAUCCCA
Molecule: long non-coding RNA, 2168 nt
Organism: Diceros bicornis minor
Lineage: Eukaryota; Metazoa; Chordata; Mammalia; Perissodactyla; Rhinocerotidae
Exons: 3
Source: RefSeq, a predicted model, not a curated record